AUUGAACGCUGGCGGCAGGCUUAACACAUGCAAGUCGAGCGGGGGAAGGUAGCUUGCUACUGGACCUAGCGGCGGACGGGUGAGUAAUGCUUAGGAAUCUGCCUAUUAGUGGGGGACAACAUCUCGAAAGGGGUGCUAAUACCGCAUAUGUACUACGGGAGAAAGCAGGGGAUCUUCGGACCUUGCGCUAAUAGAUGAGCCUAAGUCGGAUUAGCUAGUUGGUGGGGUAAAGGCCUACCAAGGCGACGAUCUGUGGCGGGUCUGAGAGGAUGAUCCGCCACACUGGGACUGAGACACGGCCCAGACUCCUACGGGAGGCAGCAGUGGGGAAUAUUGGACAAUGGGGGGAACCCUGAUCCAGCCAUGCCGCGUGUGUGAAGAAGGCCUUAUGGUUGUAAAGCACUUUAAGCGAGGAGGAGGCUACUUUAGUUAAUACCUAGAGAUAGUGGACGUUACUCGCAGAAUAAGCACCGGCUAACUCUGUGCCAGCCGCCGCAGUAA
RNAcentral lists this ribosomal RNA (501 nucleotides) under uncultured bacterium. RNAcentral describes it as "partial 16S ribosomal RNA". It matches the Rfam family "Bacterial small subunit ribosomal RNA", at positions 30 to 523 of the family's 1533-position model. The record is from RNAcentral.